AUUCCAGCUCCAAUAGCGUAUAUUAAAGUUGUUGCAGUUAAAACGCUCGUAGUCGGAUUUCGGGGCGGGCCGACCGGUCUGCCGAUGGGUAUGCACUGGCCGGCGCGUCCUUCCACCCGGAGACCGCGCCUACUCUUAACUGAGCGGGCGCGGGAGACGGGUCUUUUACUUUGAAAAAAUCAGAGUGUUUCAAGCAGGCAGUCGCUCUUGCAUGGAUUAGCAUGGGAUAAUGAAAUAGGACUCUGGUGCUAUUAAUGAUUAACAGGGACAGUCAGGGGCACUCGUAUUCCGCCGAGAGAGGUGAAAUUCUCAGACCAGCGGAAGACGAACCACUGCGAAAGCAUUUGCCAGGGAUGUUUUCAUCA
Molecule: ribosomal RNA, 365 nt
Filed under: Gephyrocapsa sp.
Lineage: Eukaryota; Haptophyta; Isochrysidales; Noelaerhabdaceae
Description: partial small subunit ribosomal RNA
Rfam family: Eukaryotic small subunit ribosomal RNA
Source: RNAcentral